AAAAUCAGUGAAGAUCCACGUUAUAGGCUAUAUAAUGUAACAUUAUUAAUUGGUAAUUUAAUUAUUUUUUUUUUAUUAAAAUGAGAUUUGAGUAGUCUUUGUAAAUUUUUUGGGUAAUUUUCUUACUACAAAAUGCACAAAAUUAGAAACGACAUGGAAGUUGAUAUAUGAAACUGAUAAGUACUUAUCAAAAAACAAAUUUAUAC
This 206-nucleotide long non-coding RNA is filed under the name Capsella rubella. Its description in RNAcentral is "long non-coding RNA (CRUB_LNC004699)". The record is from RNAcentral. Lineage: Eukaryota; Viridiplantae; Streptophyta; Magnoliopsida; Brassicales; Brassicaceae.